RNAcentral lists this ribosomal RNA (460 nucleotides) under uncultured bacterium. Its description in RNAcentral is "partial 16S ribosomal RNA". It matches the Rfam family "Bacterial small subunit ribosomal RNA", at positions 338 to 795 of the family's 1533-position model. The record is from RNAcentral.
CCUACGGGUGGCAGCAGUGAGGAAUAUUGGUCAAUGGGCGUAAGCCUGAACCAGCCAAGUCGCGUGCGGGAUGACGGUUCUAUGGAUCGUAAACCUCUUUUAUACGGGAAUAACGCGCGGGACGUGUCGCGCUUUGCAUGUACCUUAUGAAUAAGGACCGGCUAAUUCCGUGCCAGCAGCCGCGGUAAUACGGAGGGUCCGGGCGUUAUCCGGAUUUAUUGGGUUUAAAGGGUGCGUAGGCGGCCUUUUAAGUCAGCGGUGAAAGUUUGGGGCUCAACCAUGGCAUUGCCGUUGAAACUGGCGGGCUUGAGUAUGUGUAAGGCAGGCGGAAUGCGUGGUGUAGCGGUGAAAUGCUUAGAUAUCACGCAGAACCCCGAUUGCGAAGGCAGCUUGCCAAGCCAUGACUGACGCCGAUGCACGAAAGCGUGGGGAUCGAACAGGAUUAGAUACCCUAGUAGUC